This 465-nucleotide ribosomal RNA is filed under the name uncultured bacterium. RNAcentral's name for it is "partial 16S ribosomal RNA". It matches the Rfam family "Bacterial small subunit ribosomal RNA", at positions 28 to 507 of the family's 1533-position model. The record is from RNAcentral.
GACGAACGCUGGCGGCGUGCUUAACACAUGCAAGUCGAACGGAAAGGCCCUGCUUGCAGGGUACUCGAGUGGCGAACGGGUGAGUAACACGUGGGUGAUCUGCCCUGCACUUCGGGAUAAGCCUGGGAAACUGGGUCUAAUACCGGAUAGGAGCCAUUUUUAGUGUGAUGGUUGGAAAGUUUUUUCGGUGUAGGAUGAGCUCGCGGCCUAUCAGCUUGUUGGUGGGGUAAUGACCUACCAAGGCGGCGACGGGUAGCCGGCCUGAGAGGGUGGACGGCCACAUUGGGACUGAGAUACGGCCCAGACUCCUACGGGAGGCAGCAGUGGGGAAUAUUGCACAAUGGGCGCAAGCCUGAUGCAGCGACGCCGCGUGGGGGAUGACGGCCUUCGGGUUGUAAACUCCUUUCGCUAGGGACGAAGCUUUUUGUGACGGUACCUAGAUAAGAAGCACCGGCUAACUACGUG